UGGUGGGUGAUGACCUGGCCACUGUGCAAUCUGAGUUCUGAGAACCAGGUAAUGGAGCCGGUUCUGACUUGGACCGUGACCC
This is a non-coding RNA of Talpa occidentalis (Iberian mole), 82 nucleotides long. RefSeq annotates it as small Cajal body-specific RNA 18. The record is from RefSeq and is a predicted model, not a curated record. Lineage: Eukaryota; Metazoa; Chordata; Mammalia; Eulipotyphla; Talpidae. The transcript has a single exon.